RNAcentral lists this transfer RNA (73 nucleotides) under Vibrio cholerae. RNAcentral describes it as "tRNA-Val". It matches the Rfam family "tRNA". From Rfam's summary of the family: Transfer RNA (tRNA) molecules are approximately 80 nucleotides in length. The record is from RNAcentral. Lineage: Bacteria; Pseudomonadati; Pseudomonadota; Gammaproteobacteria; Vibrionales; Vibrionaceae.
CGAUUAGCUCAGUUGGGAGAGCACCUGCCUUACAAGCAGGGGGUCACUGGUUCGAACCCGGUAUCGCCCACCA